Molecule: ribosomal RNA, 253 nt
Filed under: uncultured bacterium
Lineage: Bacteria
Description: partial 16S ribosomal RNA
Rfam family: Bacterial small subunit ribosomal RNA
Source: RNAcentral
UACAGAGGGUGCGAGCGUUAAUCGGAAUUACUGGGCGUAAAGCGUGCGUAGACGGUUUUUUAAGUCGGGUGUGAAAGCCCCGGGCUCAACCUGGGAAUUGCAUUCGAGACUGAAUAGCUAGGGUACGGUAGAGGGAAGCGGAAUUUCCGGUGUAGCGGUGAAAUGCGUAGAUAUCGGAAGGAACAUCAGUGGCGAAAGCGGCUUCCUGGACCAGUACCGACGUUCAGGCACGAAAGCGUGGGGAGCAAACAGG